UGCUGAAAAGGGGCCUAGAGAUGCACAAGCGCCACCUCUUGAAUUAUUCAUCCAUUAACACCCUGCACCUUCGCUCUUUCCUCUUAUUAAUGGAGCUGUCAAUUUUUUCAUUUAUCGACUGCUAAACAGCACUUCAUCUCCUUGACUUUUUCAUUACCAUUCUGCCAUCUUUCAUUAUUUGUCUUCCAUCUCUGUUUGUCCAUGUCUCUUGUAAGUUCUCUGAUGGCAGCGUCUGUGUUUGUCAGCCCGUCACACACAGAAGGCGGCACACUCCUCCAGAAGACAAAGGCUGGGUAUAUUCUCCUCUGCACUUCAGCUCAGGGCCUAAAACCCUGGCAGAGGAUGAAGAGGAGAGUGAAUCAGUAAGUGUCGCGGUCGUCUUGGGUUCGUGAUUCUUGAUGUUGACUGUCCUUUGUCUGUUAUUCCUUGCAUAUUAAUUGCAUAAAAUUCCAUUUUAAUGUGUCCCAACAGUAAUCAGACCUCAGGAAAGAGGGGCAGCUACAAGGUUUGAACACUUCAGAUGUCCUCAUAACGUCCGGAAGCUCUAUCGGUCGGAUUUUUUCGCAAUUUAAGCAUCAUUUUCAUCGUCCUUUCACCCAUUCCAUAAACAUCAAAUUUUCCACAGAUCCUCAGAUUUUCCCACCAAAAUCAGUACGAAGUCAUCAGGGCCUGGUUAUUAAGAGACAUGUUAAACUGAAAGAUGGGACCAAACGUAUUGUGUGGGAGGCCAAAUCUUUAAAACAACUUAAUCACAAUCAGAAAUAUUUGUUAAAAAAAACGUUUAAUUGUAAAUCCAAAUGUAUAGAAUUUGUGUGUGCGCCUAUGCAUUGAGUGCGUUUGUGGUUUUGAGUAAGCGAGUCUCAUUUUAUGAUGGAAGUGUGCGACACUGAUUCUUAUAAUGUGCAGUGGCCAGUUGCUAUUGAUAUUGCUGUUGUAUCUAAAAUAAAGGGACUACUGCAGCAAUACAUUUGUAAAGUGUAGCACAUGCAUAUUUUGGUUGCCUUAAUUCUUUUUUGCCAACCUAAUUCCUAUUGUAGUUAUAAAAUAUUCACUGAUUCAGUCUUUCUUUUCUGGUUCACCAAUGAUAGUGAGAAUGUGUAUAUAGAUCUUUAAAUACAUAUAAAGUAUAUUUUAAAUGUUAUUUGAAGUUUUCUUUUGUAUUUUAUUUUGCACAAGUGGCUCGCAAAAGGUGUCCUAGGUCCACACGAACCCACCCAUUCUUCCAGCAUCGAGGACAUUUCCUUGCGUUUGAGUCUAGGGUGUUUCUUUGUUUACAAUUUAGUUUGGAUUGUAAAGUCUCAGGGGUGCCCAAACUCGGUCCUGGAGGGCAGGUGUCCUGCAGAGUUUAGCUCCAGCAUGCCUCAACACACCUGCUUGGAAGUUUCUAGUAAGAGCUUGAUUAGCUGGUUCAGAUGUGUUUGAUUAGGGUUGGAGCUAAACUCUGCAGGACACCGGCCCUCCAGGACCGAGUGUGGGCACCCCUGCUCUAUACAGUCAAAGACACAACUGUAUCAAUCGCUUACUCUUCCAACAGUUGAGCUGUGUGUGUGUGGUCAAAAAGCUGUGUGCCCCCCUAAAUAGCAAAAGAGCAUGAUGAAAUGUGAGUUUAUUUACAUUGAUGUACAGCAUAGACAUUUAUCUCUACGAAAAGACCACAACCCAUGUGUGUACAUUUGUCCAGACACUUAAAAUAAAUACAACUCUUGGAAGAUUCUUGUGGAUUUUUUUUUUUAAUAAUUUGUCCUUGUACCAUUCAGAUUUUUCCAACAAAAUGUAAUACCAGCAAAAAAAACAACAGUACACCGUUCAAACUAGGCUGCUUAUGUUGAAGUGUUUGGGAUGUGGCUUUUAAUGAUGAGACCUUUUUUGUAAUCAGGCUCUCAAAAAGUAUAUAACAAUUUGGAUAUAGAUUUAUUGGCCAACAUAUCGGUUAUCGGCUUUCAAAAAUAAAGAAUAAUCGGUUAUCGGUAUCGGCCAAAAUGU
Long non-coding RNA from Sinocyclocheilus grahami, 1983 nucleotides. The record is from Ensembl. Lineage: Eukaryota; Metazoa; Chordata; Actinopteri; Cypriniformes; Cyprinidae.